This 205-nucleotide long non-coding RNA is filed under the name Nicotiana benthamiana. RNAcentral's name for it is "long non-coding RNA (NBEN_LNC027894)". The record is from RNAcentral. Lineage: Eukaryota; Viridiplantae; Streptophyta; Magnoliopsida; Solanales; Solanaceae.
AAGAACUUAAAUGUUUACUGAAGGAGUUGGAAAUUCAGAAGUUGAAACUUCACUUUCAGAGGCAGCAAUUGGCACAGUGACAACUUCUGAAGAGACAGCAACAAGGAUGGAGUCAGUAAAUUCUACAGUGUCAGCAAGGGAAGCAGUAGUCACGGGAACUUCCAUUCCCAUAGACUUUGCCAUAGAGGCUUCACCUUCAGAAACU